CUACGGGACGCUGCAGUGGGGAAUAUUGGGCAAUGGGCGCAAGCCUGACCCAGCAACGCCGCGUGAGGGGAGAAUGUCUUCGGAUUGUAAACCUCUGUCCUUGGGGACGAAAAAAAUGACGGUACCCAAGGAGGAAGCUCCGGCUAACUACGUGCCAGCAGCCGCGGUAAUACGUAGGGAGCAAGCGUUGUCCGGAAUUAUUGGGCGUAAAGGGUGCGUAGGCGGCGCUGUAAGUCAGAUGUGAAAUCCCCGGGCUUAACUCGGGAGUUGCAUUUGAAACUACAGUGCUUGAGUAAAGAAGGGGUAAGUGGAAUUCCUAGUGUAGCGGUGGAAUGCGUAGAUAUUAGGAGGAACACCAGUGGCGAAGGCGACUUACUGGUCUUUUACUGACGCUGAGGCACGAAAGCGUGGGGAGCAAACAGGAUUAGAUACCCGAGUAGUC
This 442-nucleotide ribosomal RNA is filed under the name uncultured bacterium. RNAcentral's name for it is "partial 16S ribosomal RNA". It matches the Rfam family "Bacterial small subunit ribosomal RNA", at positions 339 to 795 of the family's 1533-position model. The record is from RNAcentral.